AGAGUUUGAUCCUGGCUCAGGACGAACGCUGGCGGUGUGCUUCACACAUGCAAGUCGAGCGAAUGAAGUAGGUAGCUUGCUACUUAUGGAUUUAGCGGCGGACGGGUGAGUAAUAUAUAGGAAUCUGCCUUAGAGCGGGGAACAACAGACCGAAAGGUUUGCUAAUGCCCCAUAGGUAUGCAGUCUUCGGAUUGUAUAUUAAAGGAGUAAUCCACUCUAAGAUGAGCCCGCGUCCGAUUAGCUAGUUAGUAGGGUAAUGGCCUACCAAGGCGACGAUCGGUAGGUGGUCUGAGAGGAUGAUCACCCACAAUGGGACUGAGACACGGCCCAUACUCCUACGGGAGGCAGCAGUGGGGAAUUUUGUGCAAUGGGCGAAAGCCUGACACAGCGACACCGCGUGAGCGAAGAAGCCCUUUGGGGUGUAAAGCUCUGUCAGCUGGAACGAAACAAAUGACGGUACCAGCAGAGGAAGCAUCGGCUAACUACGUGCCAGCAGCCGCGGUAAGACGUAGGAUGCGAGCGUUGUCCGGAUUUAUUGGGCGUAAAGAGUUCGUAGGUGGUUUGUUAAGUUCGAUGUUAAAGAUCGAGGCUCAACCUCGGGAGUGCAUUGAAUACUGGCAGACUUGAGUGCGGUAGAGGCUAGUGGAAUUCCCAGUGUAGCGGUGAAAUGCGUAGA
Molecule: ribosomal RNA, 676 nt
Filed under: uncultured bacterium
Lineage: Bacteria
Description: bacterial SSU rRNA
Rfam family: Bacterial small subunit ribosomal RNA
Source: RNAcentral